AUGGGCGGAACGGUGAACUCCGGCAGGAGUGGCAUCAGGUUGUCGGCGUCCGCGCUGACGUUUGAGGCAGAGGCCUCGUCUUCGUAUUCUGCGUCGACCAUCUGCUCGGCGACGAUGUCCGGCAUGGCAGCAACUUCUUCGGCUGCGAUCUCCGGCACGGCAGCGACUUGUUCGUCAACAACCACUGGUUCGGCAGCGGCCUCUUGUGGUAUGAGCGGCAUCACUUCCUUGGGCACAACCGUCCUCGUGCCUGGCUCCGGUGUUCCCUUGGAGUGGUUGCACUGCCAGGGCCGGUCCCGAGAUUUUGGGGGCCCGGGGUGGAGCAAAAACUCGGGGCCCUUUGUAUAA
This 348-nucleotide ribosomal RNA is filed under the name Triticum aestivum (bread wheat). RNAcentral describes it as "partial small subunit ribosomal RNA". Lineage: Eukaryota; Viridiplantae; Streptophyta; Magnoliopsida; Poales; Poaceae. The record is from RNAcentral.